This 251-nucleotide long non-coding RNA is filed under the name Homo sapiens (human). RNAcentral describes it as "non-protein coding lnc-POTED-4:1". Lineage: Eukaryota; Metazoa; Chordata; Mammalia; Primates; Hominidae. The record is from RNAcentral.
CUUACAGCAAAAAUGAAACAAAUGAAAAAUAAGCUUCGUGUACUACAAAAGGAACUAACAGAAGCAAAAUAAAUAAAAUCAUAGAGAAUCAAAAACUUAAAAGAGAACAAGAGCUCUGCAGUGUGAGAUUGACUUUAAACCAAGAAGAAGAGAAGAGAAGAAAUGCCAAUAUAUUAAAUGAAAAAUUAGGGAAGAAUUAGGAAAAAUCGAAGAGCAACAAAAGAAAAAGUUAGAAGUGAAGCAACUUGAGC